This is an RNA transcript of Arabidopsis thaliana (thale cress), 659 nucleotides long. RefSeq lists it as uncharacterized. The record is from RefSeq. The transcript has a single exon. NCBI's taxonomy places the organism in Eukaryota, Viridiplantae, Streptophyta, Magnoliopsida, Brassicales, Brassicaceae.
ACAGAAAACAAAAAAAAAAAAUAAAACCAAAAACAGAAAAAAAAACAAAAAAAAAAACAAGAACCAUUUAAAAAGCUUAUCAAGCACAAUGGCCAUCGAAAAGAGAACCAUGAUUGCCUCCUUCAUCAUCGUUCUGAUGAUGGUAACGAUGAUCGCAACCAACGUUGAGGCCCGGAAUCAUGUCAAAAUCAAGCCACCAGCAAACCCCAAGUUCUUCUUUUUCUAAAUUGAUGGCUCAUAAUGUUUACAAGAAAUAAAUGGUUGGCUUCAACAAGGAGCUUCAAGCCUUCAAGCAUUAGUUAAACUAAUGUUUACUUUUUAUAUAUAUAUAUAUAUAUAUAUAUAUUCACUUUCAUCCUCUUAUUUGUUUUAGCUAUGGGUGAGAUUAUCUAAAUAAAUUUUUAUAAAUAAUAACAUUUAUACUUGAAUAAAAUAAACUAGUUUCAAAUUUCAGUCACAAAGAUUUAUUUUAUGUUGUAGCUAGAAAUUAAUAACAAUUAUCAUUUAUCAAUAUAUUUGUUUUUAGUUUAAAGAGGGUAUAAUAUCCUUAAAUUAAUAAUAUUAGUAAAAUUGUGUUAUUUAGUUGUCUUGUGUCUCGAUAUAUAAGGAUUGGUUCGUUCCAUUGUAACUUAAAUGAUGAAUAACAACAACGUACGUGA